Molecule: non-coding RNA, 149 nt
Filed under: unclassified sequences
Description: throat-1 RNA
Rfam family: throat-1 RNA
About the family: throat and tongue metagenomes. Environment (Human Microbiome Project, throat)
Source: Rfam by way of RNAcentral
ACAAUGGGUAUGGUUUAAUCGCUAGAUUUCGAUUCUAGCAGCUGCGAAAGUGGCGGGAUUAUAUAGACGUAUUAGUAAUAAUACGAUACGUAGGGCAUGGAUUAAGACGCGUAAUAAUAUAUACGAUAGUAGAAUAUCGGCUAUAAAUA